This 501-nucleotide unclassified non-coding RNA is filed under the name uncultured Glomus. RNAcentral's name for it is "SSU rRNA". It matches the Rfam family "Eukaryotic small subunit ribosomal RNA", at positions 569 to 1074 of the family's 1831-position model. Lineage: Eukaryota; Fungi; Glomeromycota; Glomeromycetes; Glomerales; Glomeraceae. The record is from RNAcentral.
AGCAGCCGCGGUAAUUCCAGCUCCAAUAGCGUAUAUUAAAGUUGCUGCAGUUAAAAAGCUCGUAGUUGAAUUUCGGGACCAUCAUGUUGGUCGUGCCUCGGUACGUACUGGCAUUGUUGGUUUCUCCCUUCUGACGAACCAUGAUGUCAUUUAUUUGGUGUCGUGGGAAAUCAGGACUGUUACUUUGAAAAAUUAGAGUGUUUAAAGCAGGCUCACGCUUGAAUACACUAGCAUGGAAUAAUGAAAUAGGACGUUUGAUUCUAUUUUGUUGGUUUCUAGGAUCGACGUAAUGAUUAAUAGGGAUAGUUGGGGGCAUUAGUAUUCAAUUGUCAGAGGUGAAAUUCUUGGAUUUAUUGAAGACUAACUACUGCGAAAGCAUUUGCCAAGGAUGUUUUCAUUAAUCAAGAACGAAAGUUAGGGGAUCGAAGACGAUCAGAUACCGUCGUAGUCUUAACCAUAAACUAUGCCGACUAGGGAUCGGAUGAUGUUAAUUUUUAAUGA